UACGUAGGGUGCGAGCGUUGUCCGGAAUUAUUGGGCGUAAAGAGCUUGUAGGCGGUCUGUCGCGUCUGCUGUGAAAAUCCGGGGCUCAACCCCGGGCCUGCAGUCGAUACGGGCAGGCUAGAGUCCGGCAGGGGAGACUGGAAUUCCUGGUGUAGCGGUGAAAUGCGCAGAUAUCAGGAGGAACACCGGUGGCGAAGGCGGGUCUCUGGGCCGGAACUGACGCUAAGGAGCGAAAGCGUGGGGAGCGAACAGG
This 253-nucleotide ribosomal RNA is filed under the name uncultured bacterium. Its description in RNAcentral is "partial 16S ribosomal RNA". It matches the Rfam family "Bacterial small subunit ribosomal RNA", at positions 524 to 776 of the family's 1533-position model. The record is from RNAcentral.